This is a long non-coding RNA of Suncus etruscus (white-toothed pygmy shrew), 491 nucleotides long. RefSeq lists it as uncharacterized. Lineage: Eukaryota; Metazoa; Chordata; Mammalia; Eulipotyphla; Soricidae. The transcript is spliced from 2 exons. The record is from RefSeq and is a predicted model, not a curated record.
GGGGAAUGAGUGAACUGUGGUGUGUCCUGGGAGCCCUAAAGAUUAAGAAAAAUAGGUGUCUCCCUUUGAUGCAAAUCGGGGUUACCUGAAGCGCUUGCUCCACUGAUCCACUGGUUGCAAGAGGACUUCAGCUGUAAAGGUUCUCUUCUAAAAGGGAAGACUUGUAGUACAGCUUAAGUGAGGGGAUAUUUUUUGUCAGCAAUUUCCUGGAUCAUCAUCCCUCUUGGCAGCCAAGACUGAGAACCAAGGAUGUGGAUUCUUGGUGGUAAAAAGUGUGUGGAUGAUUGCAUGUGCUUUGUUUUGUUUCUGGCGAUAUUUGAGAAUAGCAUGCAACUCUUUUGUUAGCAUCACAUCUUUUAGGAUCCCUCCCAACAUCCCUUCUUAAUUGCAGGAGAAGUUAGAAGAUGUCAUGUUUUUGUGGGCUUGGGAAAAGGAAAGAUGGCUGAUGAGUUUAUAGUAAGUUUCUGCCAAAUAAAAAUACUAUGAAAAUG